CCUACGGGAGGCAGCAGUGAGGAAUAUUGGUCAAUGGGCGAGAGCCUGAACCAGCCAAGUCGCGUGAGGGAGUACUGCCCUAUGGGUUGUAAACCUCUUUUGUCGGGGAGCAAAAGCCGGACGUGUCCGGCUGUGAGAGUACCCGAAGAAAAAGCAUCGGCUAACUCCGUGCCAGCAGCCGCGGUAAUACGGGGGAUGCGAGCGUUAUCCGGAUUUAUUGGGGUAAAGGGGUGCGCAGGCGGAUUUUUAAGUCAGCGGUCAAAUCGUGGGGCUAAACCCCAUCCAGCCGUUGAAACUGGGGAUCUAGAGUGUGCGAGAGGUAUGCGGAAUGCGUGGUGUAGCGGUGAAAUGCAUAGAUAUCACGCAGAACCCCGAUUGCGAAGGCAGCAUACCGGUGCACAACUGACGCUCAGGCACGAAAGCGUGGGUAUCGAACAGGAUUAGAUACCCUUGUAGUC
RNAcentral lists this ribosomal RNA (458 nucleotides) under uncultured bacterium. RNAcentral describes it as "partial 16S ribosomal RNA". It matches the Rfam family "Bacterial small subunit ribosomal RNA", at positions 338 to 795 of the family's 1533-position model. The record is from RNAcentral.